Molecule: ribosomal RNA, 279 nt
Filed under: uncultured archaeon
Lineage: Archaea
Description: partial 16S ribosomal RNA
Rfam family: Archaeal small subunit ribosomal RNA
Source: RNAcentral
GCCUCGUUCACUGUUCUCUCUCGAUCUGGGGCUGAUUAGAGGGACCGCUGCCACCAGGAUGAAGGGGAUUGGGCUGUUUGGGUUUGUAUGGCUUGCAACCUUUUGGCCUAAAAUGUCUGUGGCCGGAAUCCAUGGUCCUUGCCCAAAAAAAGGAGGAGGCAAUCCCUAAACCUUACCUCAUUUAUAAUUGAGGGCUGAAACUCCCCCUCAUGAAUAUGGAAUCCCUAUUAAUCGCGUGUCACCAUCGCGCGGUGAAUACUUCCCUCCUCCCUUGCAAAA